GGCUGGAGCUCAGAGAGAUGGAGGAGCCGCUGAAGCUGCAGCAGCCGGAGCAGAACGCACAGCUGCACAGCCCUCUGGAAAGAACAGAGAAGAGAAGUGGACGUCGCAGACCUGAACCAGGAUGUUCUCUGUGAUGUCAGGUAAUGGGGACCCAGUGAUGAAUAGAGAUUCCUCAAGCUGCUCAGAGCCUAGCAGGGGACCUGGAACCCUAAAGAAGCACAGGCGGAAGGAGGAUGUAAGCACUAAGCACCAGCUAUGGUGGCAGAACGAACAUUUCCAGGUGCCACACCCAUCAUACAAGGACCUUGAAGAAGGCACACGUGUCCAGUUAGGAGGAUGCUCCAGGAAGCCCCCAGGCAGUGCCUGUCAAACUUUCCAUGUGCCUAUGAAACACCUGGGCCUCAUGAUGCUGCAUUUCUAA
This is a long non-coding RNA of Balaenoptera ricei (Rice's whale), 421 nucleotides long. RefSeq lists it as uncharacterized. Lineage: Eukaryota; Metazoa; Chordata; Mammalia; Artiodactyla; Balaenopteridae. The transcript is spliced from 4 exons. The record is from RefSeq and is a predicted model, not a curated record.